UACGGAGGGUGCGAGCGUUAUCCGGAUUUAUUGGGUUUAAAGGGUGCGCAGGUUGUUUGAUAAGUCAGUGGUGAAAGUCUGUCGCUUAACGGUAGGAUUGCCAUUGAUACUGUUGGACUUGAAUAUGGAUGAGGUAGGCGGAAUGUGUAGUGUAGCGGUGAAAUGCAUAGAUAUUACACAGAACACCGAUUGCGAAGGCAGCUUACUAAUCCAUCAUUGACGCUGAGGCACGAAAGCGUGGGGAUCAAACAGGA
RNAcentral lists this ribosomal RNA (254 nucleotides) under uncultured prokaryote. RNAcentral's name for it is "partial 16S ribosomal RNA". It matches the Rfam family "Bacterial small subunit ribosomal RNA", at positions 524 to 777 of the family's 1533-position model. The record is from RNAcentral.